Molecule: long non-coding RNA, 241 nt
Filed under: Elaeis guineensis (African oil palm)
Lineage: Eukaryota; Viridiplantae; Streptophyta; Magnoliopsida; Arecales; Arecaceae
Description: long non-coding RNA (EGUI_LNC052267)
Source: RNAcentral
AAUGGGUAGUUAUAUUACCAUUCAUAUUUUGUGUAUCCAUGAAUCAUUCAAAGAAUUAACAAAAUGAUGACAUAUAUUUUCAAAGAGUUGAGAAUUUGAGGCAUGCAUCAUUGAUGGUUAAUUUCUAAAUUACUCCUGAUCAUAGGAUCAUCAUGGGGAUGAUGAUUGAUCCAGAAAGAUCGAUGCAUGGAUCGCUUUCUUUGGAUAGAUGAGCCUCAAGUCUGCGAUGUAGUAACACUGG